GUGGGGAAUCUUAGACAAUGGGGGCAACCCUGAUCUAGCCAUGCCGCGUGAGUGAUGAAGGCCUUAGGGUCGUAAAGCUCUUUCGCCGGGGAAGAUAAUGACUGUACCCGGUAAAGAAACCCCGGCUAACUCCGUGCCAGCAGCCGCGGUAAUACGGAGGGGGUUAGCGUUGUUCGGAAUUACUGGGCGUAAAACGCGCGUAGGCGGAUCGGAAAGUUGGGGGUGAAAUCCCGGGGCUCAACCCCGGAAUUGCCUUCAAAACUCCCGGUCUUGAGGUCGAGAGAGGUGAGUGGAAUUCCGAGUGUAGAGGUGAAAUUCGUAGAUAUUCGGAGGAACACCAGUGGCGAAGGCGGCUCACUGGCUCGAUACUGACGCUGAGGUGCGAAAGCGUGGGGAGCAAACAGGAUUAGAAACCCGUGUAGUCC
RNAcentral lists this ribosomal RNA (425 nucleotides) under uncultured bacterium. RNAcentral's name for it is "partial 16S ribosomal RNA". It matches the Rfam family "Bacterial small subunit ribosomal RNA", at positions 354 to 796 of the family's 1533-position model. The record is from RNAcentral.